CAGUUUUCAGCAAACACAGUUUAUUUUCCACUCAAGCACCUUUUAAGUAAUAAUCCUAUUAUCUGCCCUGGUUUCUCAGCCCUAUGAGGAUGAGGUCUAUGAACAGACCCAGUCUAAUCAUGGCUUCUCUCCCAAGUGAUGUUGUCUCCUUUUAUACCUAAGAAGAUUCACAUCAAUAACAUCCAAUUAGAACUUUGCCUGUGCCACUCAGAGCCCUGAGAGGACUCAGAGGGUCCCAGUCAACGAAGAAUUGCCAGACAUUUGAGGAAAGUCUCUAACAUGGAAGAUGAAACUGCCUGAAAACAGCUCCGCCAGAACAAAUGCACAAGCCACCAGGAAGAGAACCCGCAUCCAUCACAGACAACCUCUCUUCCCAGGCCACCUUCUACUCUCCCCACCACUCUGUCCAGGCACAACCUCACAGUGCCAAGUGCAGGCAUCUGUGAAACCCCACACGUAAAUGCUCAUCACAGAAGUGCAAGGGAUGUACAGCCCCUCGAGGCCAGCCUUGGCCAUCAGGGAACAGGAGCAGGUGGAUACAAGCUCCUCACAUGGUCUCUCAGGCAUGGAAUUCAGGGGACCCUUCUACUAAGCUCCUUGGAAAGACCCAUCAGGAUGGAGCCCCAGCUGCCCACAGCCGUGACCAACUCAAUAGCCCACCCUUGGGUUACAUUUCCCUUCUCCUGUCUCCUGGGAUCACCUUCUAGAAUCAACUACGAGCAUGCAGGCCUGGGUCUCAGGCUCUGCUUUCUAGGGGAAACCCAGACUAAGAUACCAUAUUAGUCUGUUAUCACGCUGCUAAUAAAGACGUACCUGAGACUGAGUAAUGUAUAAAGAAAAGAGGUUUAAUGAACUCACAGUUCCACAUGGCCGGGGAGGCCUCACAAUCAUGGCAGAAGGCAAAGGAGAAGCAAAGGCAUGUCUUACAUGGCGGCAGGCAAGAGAGCUUGUGCAAGGGAACUCCCAUUUAUAAAACCAUCAGAUCUCAUGAGACUUAUUUACUACCACGAGAACAGUAUGCUGGAAACAGCCCCCAUGAUUCAAUUAUCUCCACCUGUCACCACCCUUGACACAUGAGGAUUAUUUACAAUUCAAGGUGAGACUUGGAUGGGGACACAGCCAAACCAUAUCAGAUACCAACCCAGGA
RNAcentral lists this long non-coding RNA (1147 nucleotides) under Homo sapiens (human). RNAcentral describes it as "HSALNT0159012". The record is from RNAcentral. Lineage: Eukaryota; Metazoa; Chordata; Mammalia; Primates; Hominidae.